Molecule: long non-coding RNA, 2369 nt
Filed under: Callithrix jacchus (white-tufted-ear marmoset)
Lineage: Eukaryota; Metazoa; Chordata; Mammalia; Primates; Cebidae
Description: lncRNA (ENSCJAG00000078322.1)
Source: RNAcentral
UGAUUCCAGGUGCCAGCGGCAUCAUCUCUCACACAACUGUUGAACCUGGAAGUUCUGUUAUAGGCACUACUGGUGUGGCCUUAAGCACAACUGUUGCACCUGGAAGUUCCAGUACAGGUAGGCUAACAAGCUGAGAAGAAACCUCCUGUCUAGAAAUAAGAUGGCAAAAAUGUCCUUCGCAUUGCUCUUCUUGUGUAAGAGCAUCACAGUAUAUUUCCCCGUCCUUCUGAAUCCUCACUCUUUCCUCGUUGCUUCUCUUUUUCUUCCAGAAGCCACAACUUCCACGGGAGUCGGUAGAACCACUGUAGUGGGAUGGAAAACAGGAGCUACCACUAGAGGAUCAGCAAACCAAGGAACUGGAAGCACAAUAGGGAUAUCAGGUGGCCAAGUCACUAGCACUCAACUAGGUAAGUAAAGUACCUUUGUUUUCCUGACGGCCCAGAAAAAGAGAUGUUCUCAUUGAGACUCCACCACCACCUCACACUGCACCCUUCCCCCAUCAAAUUUAUAGUGAGAAUGGAGCAUUACAUUUGAAAGCACACAAAAUAACUUUGGAACAGGCCAUCCCUGAAAAUGGUCUUUUUUCAUAAUGAAGGAUUCUGUAGUUGCCUCAUUCUAUUAUAGAUUGCGCCUUUAUUAUAAGAAUAAACUUGAUAUAGUGGUACCGUUCCAUUUUGUUUUAGGUACUACUGGAGUGGUCUCUGGCAACAUGUCACCUAGCAGUUCCAACACAGGGGAGUCAAUGAGGAAACAGAUGCUAUUUUCUUUUCUCGUUGGGGGGCUAACUUGGAAGCAAUGAGACAUUAUAUCUUUUGAUGAUUUUCUGUUAGCCCACACUAAUUUCUUUCUGUUUAUUCUUUGUAUUUAUUUCUUUUUAAACUUCCAUGGAAGGAAGAGUAACCAAUGAAAGUGGAAUUGGCAACCAUAUAUAUAUAUGAAUAUGAAUGAAAUAUAUAUAUAUAUAUAUAUAUAUGAAUGAGAGAAAUAAUGAGAAAUGAGAAAUAUAUAUCUUCUUGUGCCAGUCUCACUCUGUUGCCCAGGCUGGAGUAGAGUGGUGUGAUCUUGACCUACAGCUAAUUCCAUCUCUAGGGUUUAAGCAAUUCUCCUACCUCAGCCCAAGUAGCUGGGAUUAUAGGUGUCCACCACAACAACCAGCUGUUUUUUUUUUUUUUUUUUAAUUUUUAGUAGAGAUGGGUUUUCACCAUGUUGGCCAGGCUGAACGUGAACUCUUGUCCUCAAGUGGUCUGCCUGCCUUGGCCUCCCAAAGUGCUGGGAUAACAGGCGUGAGCUGCCACACCUGGCCAAAGCAUUGGCAACUCUUGAGUUCCUACAAAUCUACAUUGGGUUUUUGUCUUUUCAGAGAUAUUUGUUAAACAAAGCUUAUAUUUAUAAAGUCACAUUAUUUCUCCUGGGUCCCAACCUUAUACUUUAAUUAUAGAAAAAGAGGCUCAGAGUCCAGAAAGAUUCUCCUUUUAACACUCAAGCUAUACUCUGGUACAUACAAAGGCAACAUAAAUACAUAUAGCCAUAUUUAAGGCAGCAGAUAGAAGUUACUCUGGAGGUUUAGAUCUGUCAUGUUUUGGAAUUCAGAUGUUAUAAGUUUAUUGAAUCCAGUUGAAUACCUUUACACAAAUAUUGUUUUCAUUUCUUAAUGUUGUUAGAAGCUACCAGUGGCACAUCUGAGAGACAAAACCCUGGAAGUGAAACAGGUAAACAUGAAAGAGACCCAGACACCUCUGACAUUUAACUGUAAGGAGGCAAAUAAGGCUGGACUAUGAACUAAUGUGUUUACUGUGACUCUGAAUUUAAAAAUGGAGGACACUUCAUCAUGACAGGAUAGCACAAGGAAGGUCUGCUGCUGCUUUCAAGUCAUAGACAGUUAUAUUGGCCAUGCUCUUCUUGGGAUGGUAAAUGCAUCACCAUUUGGGUUCUUUCUCUCUCCCUGCUUUAGGCACCACUGGUAUAGUCUCUGGCACAACAGUUGCAUCUGGAAGUUCCAAUACAGGUAACCUAAUAGGAAUAAAAGGGGCCUCAGUCAGGAAUAUGACUGAGUCCCUCCCCCUAAACAUAUACACUCCUUACCAUACCCUGGAAACACCACCAGAUUGUCUCAGUUAUAGGAUUCUUCUGAAUUUAAUUUUUUCUCCUUUUACUUAGAGGCCACAACUUCUUUGGGCAAUGGUGGAACCACUGAGGCUGGAAGUAAAAUAGGUGGGCACUAGCAAUCAAAUAAUUAUUUUUCUUUUCAUCUUAAAUUAAAUCAAAUGGGCUAUAAUGAACUUAGUGGACAUUUUACUCAGUCACUAAGUACAUAUUACCAGGAAAUUAACAGUUUACUCCCUGUGAAUUUUCCUUUACUUAAAACUUGC